UUUUUUUAUUUCGAUAUUUCGUUACAUUCUUUGACUAGUGUUUAAAGUGAGCCGCAGAGCGCAGAAGGUCCAUGAUCAUAACAAUCACUUUGUUCGUUGUUCCGCCAUAUAAGUGCACAGAGUUAGAAAGUGGGGGUCAGGCUCUACCGAAGUAGACGCCCUAUAAUUCACUAAUGAUCCUUCCGCAGGUUCACCUACGGAAA
RNAcentral lists this unclassified non-coding RNA (203 nucleotides) under uncultured fungus. RNAcentral describes it as "sequence contains ITS1". Lineage: Eukaryota; Fungi. The record is from RNAcentral.